Molecule: non-coding RNA, 871 nt
Organism: Leptonychotes weddellii (Weddell seal)
Lineage: Eukaryota; Metazoa; Chordata; Mammalia; Carnivora; Phocidae
Source: RefSeq, a predicted model, not a curated record
GGGUGGCCCACAUGGCACCCCGGAGGUGACGCCGGCGCUCCGGGUCUGCCGUCCCAGAGGGGGUCCCGCAGCACCAGCCAAGAGGCUAUCUGGCUGCUCUCAGGAUAGAAAUCCAAGGUGGAUUUGCAAUUCAAAAGGGGCCUUGCGGGACCAUCGUACCUUAACUCCAAAAAUGACUACAUGGGGGCUUCUCACGGACAUCUGACACUUUCAUCGCUCUGGGCCACUGAGAUACACCAGUAGAUCCCAGCCUCAACCAGAAAUCGCAGCAUAGUAUGGUUUCCUGCCAGACUCACAACAGCGGGAGAGAGACUGUCCAGACCUGCCAGUGGAAGCAUCUUGUGGGCCAGACAGGCUUCUCCGCAAAAUAGGAAGAUAGCACUCUGGUUUUUAUAUCAGUGCUUGACUUCUCUCCAGUGAAGAGUCCAUCUUCCUUGGUUGCACAACUCCUGGGGAGGGGAUUUUUGACAGCUGACUUCUUUUGGGAGGCUCUGCUUUUAGAUCCGGGGAGUUCAGGAAAAACAACUCCUCACGAACACUUGUGCUAAAGACCUCUGGUAAGGAUGCAGCUGGGAGCGCGUGCUGGGUCUGGGAUACCUACACCUUCAGCUUACCCAGUGUUGCCAUUCGCUUUCCAGAGAAUAACCCCGACCAGUGGAGCCCAGGUGGACACCAGCCCUAAUUAUCGUCUUUCUGACAAAGACUGCUGGAAGCUCAAAAUGCUUGACAAGAGGUGCCAGGAGGCAGAGGGACAAGCCAGCCACAGAGGAAGUCACCCAGAAACCCAGGGAGGUGAAACCCCUUCUCAAGGGCUUGGUUUCAAAAAACAAAUGUUUUGGGGCGCCUGGGUGGCUCAGUUGUUAAGCGUCUG